ACAGAGUAAAUGUGGAAAUUGGUAGCAUUACGUACAACAUGCAUAAUAAAUCUUGGAAAUUUCCUUUAAAUAUUUUGCCAUACUAAAAACUUCAAAAAGCCCUUUGAUUGAAACAUUUGGAUAAAUGCUCAGAUGUCAAUACAUCUCCUAAGAGCAUUAGAAAGCGGUCCUUGUUAAUACUCUUACUUACACUGUUAAAGGAGAAUCUUACUUCCUGAGAACCAGACUAAAUCAUCGUGUUUUUCACUUCACCUUGCUUAAAUAAACAGAGCUGCCAAAAUCUGAUGGAUCUUUCAUAACGCCAGUACUAAAAAGCUUAGUAUAAGCAUGUGAAAAUUCAAAAUUUUCAGGCUUCCCUUAAAAAGUAGGUUUGGCCUUUGUUCUUGUCUUCCUCAAUAACUUGGAUCUGAAUGCUGCAUUAUUUUCCAGCUACAACCUAAGAAUGGUUUACAUUAUCAAAAAACUUUACCUAUGGGAGAAAUAGACAGCACAAGCAAACUAUAUUUGUGGAAAAGUGGACUCCUGAUUAAAUAAAAACAGAUCUUAAAAAGAGGAUGUAGAAGCCUGGGAUUUUGAGAAAGGAUCAGAGGGACUAUCACGAAGAGUUUAAAUAUGGGACACAGAUGAAGACGUAAAUAAGUUACGGCGAUAAUUUGUCAAGAGUUCCAGCUGUCGAUCUUCACCAGAUGAAUCUUCUCCAAUUACUGGCGGGAGUAUUUGACCCACCAGGCGACUUCCCUGAGUUGAACCACUUUUCUAAUGAUUCUAACUGUGGACAGUCCAAGUUGGCCAUAUGAGAAUUUGAACACGGCGGUGAUUUCUGAACAGUGUAGAUCAUGUCCAUGUGUCUGGCUGGACUUGUUUGCCCUGUGUCCAUUCCUUCAGCCUAAUUGAUUGUGACUCAAGUGGUAUUCUUUUGAAAGAUGAGGCCCAGACGGCAGUGGGUGAUGUCUUCAAUUUCCAACCAAAGGGCCCUAAAGGAGCCAGAACGGAUUUCCAGGAUCUCUCUUUAGUAGCUGGGACUCUUUAGGGCCUUGAGUUUGCAGAAAAGAAGAUAAGGACAUCUUGGUUUAUAGAAGAUGAGACAUCCAAAUUGACUUUCUGAACAAGGCUUAUAUAAAAAGGUUUAUUUGGCAAGUCUGAGAUAAGCUGCUCUGGUUGUUUCUGCAUUAGCUCUCCCCUGGCGACUGUCUAAAGAGCCGUCAUGCAGAGUUUUAAUUGAAUCUGCCUAACACUCUCCUGGAGAUUAAAGGUAAGUGUUUCCAAGAGGAAAGAAAAGUAAUAGAAGAGAAGAGCUUAAAGUCAGGUUGUAAGAUUUCAAGAGAAAGGAGUAGAACAAUCGUGGAGUAUUUACGUCUAUGACGAUAACAGCACAAACCCUACCAAAGAAAUACUUAAUUCGGGGUUUGUUCUCAGGGAAACUUUCUCAGAGAUGGACAGGGGAGAUCGAGAGUAGCCAUUUAAUCAUUCACUAAAUGUCACCUACAAUCAUAAAAUGAAUUUCCAGGAAUACUAUCAUUUAAUCUCAGGACUUCAGGCAAGUAUAAAAUUGUUUAAAGGAAAGAAAAGAAAUCAUAAUUAUUUUUAAACUGGAUGAACUUUGAUUCAAUUGGUCAAGGUGGUAGGCUAAAAAUUUCUUAGAAGGGAACUUCUCUUCUGUUUAGAACACCUUAACGAUAUGUAUAUUUAUGAAAGAUAAUGUCAAAUGAGCAUAGAGAAGAUGAAAGACUUUAAAUAAAGAAAAAAUUAAAAUCUUCAGCAUAAUAAAUUAAUAAACAGUCUUCCAUUUUCCCUUGGCAGACAAGGAAGACUGGGAUUUUCUCAUAUCUUUGAAUAUUUUUCCUAUUCCAAUUACUCUCUUCCCGUUUUUAGGUUCACUGACAACAGAUAUAUAUGUAUAUCCUUUGUUUGCAUUCCUUAGUAGAAUAUAUCGUAUAAUCAUUUUUAUUCCAUUGCUCUAUUUCAUCUCUGAGAUUAUAUGUUCACCAUGAAA
Molecule: long non-coding RNA, 1993 nt
Organism: Equus caballus (horse)
Lineage: Eukaryota; Metazoa; Chordata; Mammalia; Perissodactyla; Equidae
Source: Ensembl